RNAcentral lists this long non-coding RNA (1484 nucleotides) under Lactuca sativa (garden lettuce). Its description in RNAcentral is "long non-coding RNA (LSAT_LNC010075)". The record is from RNAcentral. Lineage: Eukaryota; Viridiplantae; Streptophyta; Magnoliopsida; Asterales; Asteraceae.
AAAUUUCCAUUCGGUCAAACCCUAAACGUCAACCCCUUCAUAUCAUAACUCAAUGUCAUUAUUUAUUAUUUUUAAGAAAUAUAAAGUUCGUUUGAUUAUUUUAAUAUUAUUUUUAAACGAACGGGUGAAAGAAAGUGUCGUCUCGGGUUUUGAUUUUUGAAAACCGCAAACACUUCGCGUAUUAGAAACACCCGACCAAACUUUUAUGUUUUGGGUUUAGAAAUCACCAAAACCGUAAACUCAUGCCUAUGUAUGAGUUUACUCCCCAAAAAGUUAGUCAUUUGUGUUUACUCCCCAAAAGUCAAAAGAGUAAACUCCAAAAUAUCCUCUCAAGUAUCAUCUCAGAAUAAUACACAACAUAAACCACAAAGACAUAAUGCAGGAUAUGUGACAACCCGAAAUUUCCAUUCGGUCAAACCCUAAACGUCAACCCCUUCAUAUCAUAAGUCAAUGUCAUUAUUUAUUAUUUUUAAUAAAUAUAAAGUUCGUUUGAUUAUUUUAAUAUUAUUUUUAAACGAACGGGUGAAAGAAAGUGUCGUCUUGGGUUUUGAUUUUUGAAAACCGCAAACACUUCGCGUAUUAGAAACACCCGACCAAACUUUUAUGUUUUCGGUUUAGAAAUCACCAAAAACUGUAAACUCAUGCCUAUGUAUGAGUUUACUUCCCAAAAAGUUAGUCAUUUGUGUUUACUCCCCAAAAGUCAAAAGAGUAAACUCCAAAAUAUCCUCUCAAGUAUCAUCCAAGAUUUAAUUCCAAAUUUUCAAAGUUGUAAGUGUUCUAACCAUUUAAUUUCAAGUUAGUAAAACACUUAAUCUAGUGUUUGUGCAUCUAUUCAUCCAUUCAUUUAUGUGUUUUGUUUAGAUUUUCCAAAACACCAAGAGCACCAAGAACACACACUAAGUGUUCUUGGCCUUUUAGCUCAAAUCAAGCCUUCUUAUAGUAAGUACUUCCAUCCUUGAGCAUUAUUGAGCUAGUACUACAUUUAAACAUCAAGAAAAUAUGUCAAGAACACAAGAUUGAAGGUGUUCACGGUCCAAGAAUGUUCUUGGGCCGUAAACACCAUAAAGGGCACCAAAGUGUGCCUAAGUCCUUAUCUAAGCCCUAGUUUGAUGUUUAAACCAUGCUUGACAUAUUUAAACCCUUCCUUAUAGUGUUUAAGCCUUGAAAAAGCACCAAAACCCCCACUUUUAUGUGUUUACGGUCUAGGGAUGUCCCAAAACCGUAAACACCCCAAAAAGUGUGUAAAUGUCCAUUAAAAGUCCCAUGGUUGUUCCUUAUGGCUAAAUCUAACCUAGACUAGUACCAUGAUUGAGCUAAGGACUUGAAAACCCCAAAUACCAUAAACUUAGGAGUUUAAGGUAGUAAACUCAUGAGUUUAAGGUAGUAAACUCAUGAGAAAUGGUCCUUAGACCGUAAACUCCAUUUAGGAGUGUUUUGAUGCCACACAACACUUCCUAAGGCUAAUUCAUGAAGUAGGAAUGCUU